GCCUCAUUGUAGCAAACCUUGCCGUAGCGGUCGAUGUGUUGCACCUGGUAAGUGUAGCUGUGACCUUGGAUGGAUACUAAAUGAGAGCGGCGACUGUAUCGAAAGAGAUCUUGAUCCUAUAAUUUGCUAUCCCCCAUGUGGUAAUGGGAGCUGCCAUUUUCUAAACAGAUGCACUUGCUGGGAUGGUUACAUGUCUAAUAAUAACAAUAAUAACCCGCGAUGUGUACCGUCAUGCAGAAACUGCCAGGGAUUCUGCGUCGCUCCUGGCAGAUGUGAGUGUCCAGAGCUAUUUGAACGCAAAUAUUUAACAGCGGACAACCAAGACUGCGACUGCUCGGAAGAUUGUGAUACAAAAUGCUUUAAAACCGCAUGUGUCCUCACCACUACUACAUCAACAGCUAUACCUCAAACAAUAAAAGCAAUCGAUCCCCCUAAUAAACUCGACAAUACAGGCAUUUCGGAAAUAUACGUUGUUGUCGAGCGAAUAUCAAAACCAGAUAAUUCGAGUGUUGAACCUAUAACAAUAGUUAAAUAUUACAACAUGAGCCAGGACCCUUGGCUAAUUAUUUUCAUAAUCACAACAAUCAUAAUGGUGGCUUUGAUUAUAUUGGUAUUUUGGGAAUAUCUAAGAAAGUGAGUUUUAAAGAAACAUGUUUAAAGGAUGCUAUCUAAUCCAAGACACAUCAUUUUCUAAAGUCUACGUUUCGGCAGUAUCAUGGGAUGCAAGCUGCCCGAACCCUCCAUGUAUUACUUUUUUGUUAUAUAUUGUACCUUGUCAUAAAUGUUUGUGUGCCUCCCAGUGU
Manduca sexta (tobacco hornworm) is the source of this 803-nucleotide long non-coding RNA. RefSeq lists it as uncharacterized. The transcript has 3 exons. Lineage: Eukaryota; Metazoa; Arthropoda; Insecta; Lepidoptera; Sphingidae. The record is from RefSeq and is a predicted model, not a curated record.